This 596-nucleotide long non-coding RNA is filed under the name Helianthus annuus (common sunflower). Lineage: Eukaryota; Viridiplantae; Streptophyta; Magnoliopsida; Asterales; Asteraceae. The record is from RNAcentral.
AUGUUAGGUGUUGGGUGACAUCACCCUAAUUUACCUAUGGACUGUUCAACCAUGCUUAAACUAUGGAGGGUUAUAAAGAGCUUACCAUGGAUACAAAGUUUGGAUUGAUUAUAGUAAAACGUCCAUAGAGCAAAGGUAAGUUUUAUAAAUGCUUUUCAAAUGUGAAAAUGCUUGUCCUAAACCGUAAUAAUAUGGCAAGGAUGUUGUAUGCAUGUACAUAACCUGUGCACUCAUACACAUGAUAUUUGUGGUCCCUUACACGUGCUACUACGGCAUGAUUUGUCUAGUUUACACCUGUGGUGUAGAGGACAUUAAUUGUAGGAUGAUGUGUCACGUGUUGACGCUGGGUUAUGAUGAUAUGGGCGGGUACAAAUUCAUGGUGAAAUAAUGUGCUUUACAACUCGUGUAUAUUCAUGAACUCAUCGAAUAGCUGGGCUUUUAAGCAUGUGUCACAGGUGAUGGCGCGUGAUCAUUGCUCAUAAUCCCAGACUUGUGAUAGUGUGGUAGAAAUGUAUAUCCCAGAUCGGUGUGAUCUGGUGGAAGUGUUGUUACGUCAGGCUAGACUUAGUCAGAUUAGAUGUUAUAAUUUGAGUUUC